This 778-nucleotide ribosomal RNA is filed under the name uncultured Neocallimastigales. Its description in RNAcentral is "partial large subunit ribosomal RNA". It matches the Rfam family "Eukaryotic large subunit ribosomal RNA", at positions 24 to 640 of the family's 3401-position model. The record is from RNAcentral. Lineage: Eukaryota; Fungi; Neocallimastigomycota; Neocallimastigomycetes; Neocallimastigales.
UAUCUCUGUAGAGUCUGCAUAUCAAUAAGCGGAGGAAAAGAAACUAACUAAGGAUUCCCUCAGUAACGGCGAGUGAAGCGGGAAGAGCUCAAAUUUGAAAUCUUCAAGGUUCUGACCUUGACGAAUUGUAGUUUAAAGAAGUGUUUUCGGUUAGAGGAGUUUGGUAAAAGUUCUUUGGAAUAGGACAUCAUAGAGGGUGAGAAUCCCGUAUUUGACCAUUAUUUCUAGCUUUGUGAUACACUUUCAAAGAGUCGGAUUGUUUGGGAAUGCAGUCCAAAAUGGGUGGUAAAUUUCAUCUAAAGCUAAAUAUUGGCGAGAGACCGAUAGCGAACAAGUACCGUGAGGGAAAGAUGAAAAGAACUUUGAAAAGAGAGUUAAACAGUACGUGAAAUUGUCAAAAGGGAAGCGUUUGACACCAGUGUUGUUUUUCCGAAAAUCAAUUAAAAAUGGAUUCAUGCUAAGUUGUAUUGACCUUAUCAGCUUGCAAUUUAGUUUUGGGUUUCUUUUUGAUGCACUUUUCGGUUAACAAGUCAACAUCAAUUUCCUUUGCUGUAAAAAGGCAGGAGGAAGGUGGCUUCAAUUUCGGUUGAAGUGUUUAUAGCCUUCUGUCUCUGCAGUCGGGGAGAUUGAGGUCUGCAGCGUAGAUCCUUCGGGGCUAGAUACAUUCGUGCUAAGUUAUAGCCUUUUAUAGACAACUUGUUGACUAUGAUUGGUCUUGUAAUUUACUCGCGAGUGCUAUUUUACCUACGCUUAGGAUGUUGAUCUACAGAGCGAGAGU